Molecule: long non-coding RNA, 5028 nt
Filed under: Triticum aestivum (bread wheat)
Lineage: Eukaryota; Viridiplantae; Streptophyta; Magnoliopsida; Poales; Poaceae
Description: long non-coding RNA (TAES_LNC012300)
Source: RNAcentral
AACUGGAUCGAUGGCCUGAAGGCUUUUACUAAGAAGAUGAAGAAUGUUGUAGAAUAGUGUCCAUCAACAAAGAGUCCUACUACUACCGGUUGGAGAGGCUCUAUCCUCAGGUGAUUGAUUACUUAAGAAGUAUACUGAAUUAUGAUAUCCAUCGAUCUAAUUUUGUAUAGGAAUUUUUAAAAACUAAAGAAUCUGUGGUACAUGAUUUAAUUUACUCAUUUAGAUUUUAGUAAAUUGUGAACGGAAGUUUUUUUCACAAAACCAAUGCACCACCCUUUCUACACACAUCAUUCAUGGAUUGGCAGACUAAAGGUUCUAUUCAACAUCUUUGGUGGAUUGCAUAAAUGGGCUAGAGUAAAAAUAUACCAGAAUUGUUAUAUGUGCUUAGGGAAGUGGGAUUAGAUCAAGAUUUUUUUGACAAAAUGAGAAAUCAAUGGCUCAAGGAGAGUAAGCCCAAAGAGAUAAGUAUUGUUUUCCUUUAGUAGCUUGCCGCAUAAUUCAUUCAAACAUAUUUAGAGUGGAGCAGGAAUAUUCAAACAAGGAAAUGUGCACAAUAUCUGUUAGUAUACAUGUGACACUUUCCCCUCUUUCGACUAAUGAUUGCCUCCUGCCGGGUAUCACUAAUAGCACAUUCAUCACAUCAUUUGGGUAGCUCAUUCUGGUGUAAGUCGGGCCAAUUUAGAAAAGAUUUUAAAGCAGAUUCAUACAGGUUAUAGAAGUCAGAGUCAAAUAGUAUAAUAAGUGAUUUGUUUGUGCAUAAUUUCUAAUUGAUCGUCUUCUAAGGAUAAAUGGAACCGCUACCUUUCCUCUCUCCAAUAAACUAUUAGACCCUGGUUGUAACUAUUUUCAUCUUGGUGUGAUUUAUAAGGGAGGCCAUGCCAUUAGUUUUUUGUUAUUACAUGCUGUGAUGACCCCGAUUCAUUGAUGUAUAGUGUCGUAUGUGGUCAAUUACCUAAUAUGGUAGUUACACUUCUCCUGGUUUGCCUUGGUCUAAAAUCUGACUUUUGGACUGAUUGUAGUCAAUCUGAAUUAGUGAGGUUCUUUUUUCCAACUGUCCAUGUUCAGUUCUCUACAUUAUCAUGCAUUUUCUUUGGUUUAAAGAUGUCAUGAUGUUCACCAAGGCAGAGAAGAAAUGUUUUAAAGUUGUCCCUUCAAUUGAAACAAGUAUGACUUGGUCCUUAGUGCCUAUGCAAACAUGAAAACGGAAGGUCGAGAGGUUUAAAUAUGUCAUGAUGUUUACAAUUGCGGAUAUCCUGCUUCAGGUACUUGCCUGAUAACUCACAAUUUCAACACAGAAGUUACUAAUCUGUAAGACAUGCCCUCUCUCAUUCAAUGAUGUCCUGAAAUUUUCACACAAAGCUUUGUAAUCUUGCCAAGUAACAAGAGAGCCAAGUAAUCAUGCGAAUUUUCAGAGAACUUCAAGUGGCAUGCCACCAUUUGCAAUGGUCGUGAUGUAGUGAUAAUUAAUAAACUGCAGGCCUUCUAAAUAUUCUAAAGUUGCAUAUCUAAGAGCAUAUUAUAUUUCUCAUAAACAACUGGAGUUAAGCUUCUAUCCUCUUCCUGUCUUAAAGGAAUUAUCUGUUGAGUAAGCUAUAGUCUCUUUGUUUGACUAGCUAGGCUGUGUUACAUACAUGUAUAAGAUGAUGCUUCUGUGGCUAUAACUGGUGCCUGCCGUGCUAAAUAGGAAGCACCCUAUUAAUUACCCACCUCAAUUUCAUUAGUGCAUUCGGCCUGUGAAUUUUACCCCAGACUAUAAAUCCCCUCCAAACGAAACCCUAUAGGUGUACUAUGACUCUUAAUAGUGUAUCCUUGUAAAAGUCAGUGUGUUGGGUUAUUUUUUUGGUGUGGUUAGAGAACUCGACUCCAUUUGGAACGAGGGUUUGAGUUUUAUUUUUCCUAAACCUUUGAAAGGCAGAGCCAUGGAAUUAUUUUGUGCUCUCAUUCCUCUGGAUGGAAGCUCUAACUUUUCCUCUUUGUUUCCAAUAAGCUACUUUCUUCGAGAUUGUGCAAUGAAGGAUUUUGAUGGUAAGGGAUCGUAGAGCCUCGGGUGACUAGCAUUAAGAUAGGAAGGCUAUUGCCGCCCUUGUCCCUUGCUGCUGGGUUGCCACAGUGGCGUCAAUCACUGGCUUAUUUAGAACAAUAGUUAGUGGAUUUUGUGAUAAGGGUGAGGGCCGAGAGUGAGAGGGACGGGGUUGGGAUUGUUCUGUUGUAUGCGUGAAAUUAUUUCCCUACUUUAGAAAAUAUGGCAAAUUGCAUUUCAUUAGAGAUUGAUUUACAGCAAAUUGCAUGAGCGAGUGGUUCAUGCAUUUUUCAUCAAGUUGUACAUUUUCUUGGUUACGACAUAAGGGUAAAUGUACUGGUUGGUUGCUUCAAGACUUAAUAACAGACACUAUGACAAUGGCUCAAGAGAUAUCAGAUCUACCUUCUUGGAUGGGGGCGUUAUGGGUGGCGCACGCCUCGGCCCCCUUGAUGGCCGUGGUGGAUGGACAUGAACACGAGGGGGGAUCAGGGCGGAGAGCAGGGUGGUUGGCGGGGGACUCAUCCUUGGCAGUUCAUGGGAAAGUAUGGUGUGAAGCAGAGGGGGCGCCAUGGCGAAGGUGAGGUAGCCGUCAUCCGGUCAUCUGUACUCCUAAUGUCUCAGUUGGUAGUCUCCGCUCACUGGUUAAAUUUCGUCCCACCAACACCGGGUUUUUUUGUCCUCCCUCCCACCUCCCACUCCCAGCUAUUCCCACCGGCUUUAUUUUAUGUGAUCUGAAUCUGAGCGAGUCUUAAAUUUUGGUGCAGUGUGAAAGGAGGAAAAUGAUCACCGGAAAGCAGGUAGAUCUACACCUUGAGAGAUGGCAUUUUGCGGUACAUUGUUUAGGUAAGGAUAUUGUGCUUUCUUCUGAAAACUCUGGACUGUAUAUUGAGUUGUGUUCCAUUUUUUUAAAAUUACUUAGAAUCCUGCUUCUGGCAAUACUAUGAACUGGCAUACCUCGUGAUCAUGAGAGGAUGACAAGUUCCUGAUCCCCAAGAACGCCCUCAUGUGCGGCUGCCGGUCGUCGGACAAGACAUCUCUGACGACUUAGCCACACAACGAACCUAAGUUCGUCAUGGGAGGAUGUCACCUUGGACUGGAGCAACAGACGUCGAAAAUUUACUAGGAAAAAAGGCUCACAAAUAAGAGUGACCCAAACACAAAUUGUCGUACGUUUGCAAUUAAACUCUUAGUAGCAGCUUGAUUCUUACUAUUGUUACUUUGGUGGUGGGUAUAAUUAGUCAUGUAGUAGCAUCUUAGCUUCAUCUUAUUUCUUGAGAUCAUAUCUAGCUAUCAGAUCUUCAAGAGUACACCAUAAAAAUUGAAAGGCCUAUCAGCUUCAUAGAAGAAAGUUAGUCUUAUGAUAGAAGAAAGGCCCAUCAGCCCUUACAGUGCCUGAUUGGUUAGCGACUGCUUUUUAGGCUCAACUGAUUACUGACUACGUCCAACAACAUAUGAGUGACAUGACCAAGUAGAAGUAAAUUUCGUUGUGAUCAAGAUGGUGCCUUUAUUUUGGAAAACACGAUUGAGAUGGGUAGGCGCAUGGGCAUCUCACCGGAACAAAUAGACAGACUGAUUUCACUCAUACACAGGUUGAUUAUAUUAUACGGUCAACUCACGAAGUAGCCGGAUACCUUCUGCUUGAAGUUUGAAAGCCAUUAGCAUGCUAAAUUAUAUGGAUGUGCUGGUCUUGACGUGUGUGCACGUACAUGGUAAAAUAAACUUGAGUAAUGAUUAAUACCUUGUUUACUCUUUUUUUGCUUUACAGGUAUUUGGAUAUCUAUUAUCAUUCAAGAUAUCUUAAGGAGAAAUUUGGUUUUUGAUGAACUGAAACAAUAUACCAAUAAAAAUUUAGCGCUUGGCUGUACAUAUGAAUGUUAACUUUGUUAAAAUAAUUCUCCCUUUAUAAGAGAAGAUUUCUUAGUUCAAAUAUAUUUUUUGAAAAAAUAUAGUAUUUUCCUGACAAUCCUUUUGAUUCUAAAACAUCCAUAUCUCAGAAGGAUAAUAGUGGUGUGUUUAUGUUGCUUUGGGUCUCUUAUCACUCGGAUCAUUCAUCAGAAAAAUAUUUCAAAAAUAAUUCUAUUUUGACGUUUCCUUUGUGUUCAUUGUUCCAUCAUAGUAGUUUAGGUUCACAUCAAACCAGACCAUAUGUUUCAGUUUCACUCUUUGGACCAUGAUGGUGGUGUGCAAGGUGGGCUAGAUCGUAAUACUAAAAGAAUCAAUGGAGGUUAUUGGAUAGCUUUUAGAUUCUCCAAAAAAUAAUCUAGCAGAUGGAUGAUCCUAUUAUCACGUAUGGUGGUGGUGUGCAAGGAAAUGAAGCAGCAUGAUGGUAGCUACUGAUGUUAUUUUCACAUGUAAGAUGUAUGAGCUUCAGUUUGUCAUGCUAUUAUCAUGUAUAGUCAAAAAUGAUUAGUUUAAUCAGAAUUUAGAGUUUCAUUCUUAGUUCCCUGAAAUAUUGUUUUUAUAGGUAAUUCCUGCGGAGUGUAGUAUAUUGGGAGCCAAGGCCGAGUAGCAAGCCAUGUGUCACCGCAAGGACAGGAGCGAGAUUUAAUUAAUUGUAUUUGCAAGAUUUGGUCUUCCCUUCUUGUUUUCCUGGUCAUCUCACAGGUUUUAUCACUUACAUUUCCUUCUAUGGUGGUCUGAUCAUUGUACUUUGGGACAUUGUACUUUUAGGACGUAAUGUGCAUUGUUAUUUUAAAUUGCUCAUGUCUUGAUAUGUCUUUCAAAUUCUUGACAUCUGCCCCAGUAGCCUAAACCUCCAUGGCAUGCUCCAUCGGAGUAUUUUGUUUGUUGUACAAUUUUCAAGUGCGACCUUCCAAUUUAUUUUGUUGUAACUAUAAGGUUUGGACCUCAGAUAAGUUCUCGAAAUACCAAUGUCAUAUUUCAAUUAGAAAAUAAGAUUUAGUUUGAUCAUGCAUGCAAUUGUAAUAACCCUACUUUGAGCUUUUACGUACUGGUUUAAAUAGUUAAAUCUUCUAGAUUCUUUUGCAUAUUUUCUUGGAAUUAUACUA